UACAGUGGUAUAGACAAAAUUCAGGUAGAGGCCUUGUCCACCUAAUUUUAAUACGUUCAAAUGAAAGAGAGAAACACAGUGGAAGAUUAAGAGUCACGCUUGACACUUCCAAGAAAAGCAGUUCCUUGUUGAUCACGGCUUCCCGGGCAGCAGACACUGCUUCUUACUUCUGUGCUACGGACGCACAAGGAAGCUACAUACCUACAUUUGGAAGAGGAACCAGCCUUAUUGUUCAUCCGUUAUCCAGAACCCUGACCCUGCCGUGUACC
RNAcentral lists this long non-coding RNA (269 nucleotides) under Homo sapiens (human). RNAcentral's name for it is "non-protein coding lnc-ABHD4-12:20". Lineage: Eukaryota; Metazoa; Chordata; Mammalia; Primates; Hominidae. The record is from RNAcentral.